CUUGACCUCGGAUCAGGUAGGGAUACCCGCUGAACUUAAGCAUAUCAAUAAGCCGGAGGAA
RNAcentral lists this ribosomal RNA (61 nucleotides) under Ascochyta dolomitica. RNAcentral describes it as "partial 28S ribosomal RNA". The record is from RNAcentral. Lineage: Eukaryota; Fungi; Ascomycota; Dothideomycetes; Pleosporales; Didymellaceae.